Molecule: ribosomal RNA, 377 nt
Filed under: uncultured cyanobacterium
Lineage: Bacteria; Bacillati; Cyanobacteriota
Description: bacterial SSU rRNA
Rfam family: Bacterial small subunit ribosomal RNA
Source: RNAcentral
GGAAAGCCUGACGGAGCAACGCCGCGUGAGGGAGGAAGGCUCUUGGGUUGUAAACCUCUUUUCUCAAGGAAGAUAAUGACGGUACUUGAGGAAACAGCAUCGGCUAACUCCGUGCCAGCAGCCGCGGUAAUACGGAGGAUGCAAGCGUUAUCCGGAAUAAUUGGGCGUAAAGCGUUCGUAGGUGGUGAUGUAAGUCUGCUGUUAAAGCGUGUAGCUUAACUACAUAUAGGCGGUGGAAACUACAUGACUAGAGUGCGUUCGGGGCAGAGGGAAUUCCUGGCGUAGCGGUGAAAUGCAUAGAUAUCAGGAAGAACACCGGUGGCGAAGGCGCUCUGCUAGGCCGUAACUGACACUGAGGGACGAAAGCUAGGGGAGCG